AUAGAGGAGGACAUCUGGACAGUGAGGAGGAGGCACCUCGGCCCAUGCCAAGCAACCCAGAGGACCUGGAGAGCUGGGAGGCCACGGAAAGUUCAUCACCCUAGAACACAGCCAGGGGGCAGUGCCAAAGAUGCGGCAACUGGAGGAGGACAUCAUCAGGCUGGCCCAGGACAUGGAGGAGAUGAAGGUGAAGCUGCUGGAGCUGCUGGAGAAGAUGUUGCGGCUUGUGGUGACUACAACGAGGGACACAGCAAAUUCCCGGCCACUGCCCUGAAGCUUGCUGAUGAGCCUGGUCCAGGAGCCCCAGCCCCCCAGGAGCUUGUGGGUGCUGAUAAGCAUGGUGGUGAGUAGAGUCCUCAGGCAGGGUGGGCAGGCAGGGGCAGGGGAGGCUCUCACUGCACUCGGAUCCCCACCUCCUUCUCUCCAAAGAUCUUUGUGAGGUGAGCCUCACUGACAGCGUGGAGCACCCAGGCUUGUGCAGCAACUCCCGUAUGCCAUUCUUUUGCUGGGCUUGGCUGCUGAGAAGAAGGAGAUAAACAUCACCAUCAUCAAAGAGCUGCUCAAGAAAUUUUAAAAAAGGAAACAAAGUUAUGGGGUUCAUCUCCUACCCAAUUCAUUUACUUCAUUUGAAUGUUAGAGCCACUCAUGAUUAUUUGUAAUUUAUAGUUUAUUUGUAAAAAGUUAAAGGAGAGUGGGUCUCUGUGGCUUUCACUGAUGUUUACUCUGGCAUCCUUCAGCAUUUUUCUUUUUUAGUUUCAUAGUUGUAGGUCAUUAGCAUGCAUAUCGAGUUUGCCCUUACGUGGUGGGAGUUCAAAUACACAAAGACCCACUAUUUGCACAAAAUUAUUAUUGCUGGUUUGGAAUAGGCUGCCAUGCUUUUUUAAUGUUAUCGCAGCAUGUAUGUUCAUUACGGAAUUCAGAUAAAAUUUGCUUAUGUUCUGCUAUUGUUUGAUCUAAUCUUAAUCACAGUGAGCUCUUCAUUAGCUCAAUAUGUGGUUUGCCCCCAGGUGUGCACUGUUUAUUACUUUGUAAUAUGCCACUAUGAGUACUGACAUUUAGAGUUGUUUAAAGGCCGAGAACUGGAAACAGCCUUUCCCCUAUUUUCUGUGUAUUGGUGAUGGGAGUAAUAACAUUUUGGGGGAGCUUUUAAAAUCUCACAGAAGAGGAAAGUGGCCUGCUGUGGCAGGUUUGUGCAGGAUAGAGUGUGUUUCAUUUGUUCCGGUGCCAACAAUUAGCGCUGUACUAUGGUAGUUCCCUUCGGAUUUGUAUGUGCUCUGGGCUCAUGAAGAUAUUGCAUCAUGAGCUGCAGCAGUUGUACUCUUUCUCGAUGACCUAAAAACUGAUCAUUUCUGAGGAACGAAAGGCUCCCUUCAUUGACUGUAGAUGUGGAAAACCUUUCCUAGCUUAGAGCAUUUGUGUCUAUAAUACAUUUUAAAGUCAGAGUUGAUGUUACCUGUUUUAAUCACAUGACCACAUGUCCCAGUACACAAAAGAGUGCUGGCUGGCAUUCUUCUUAUUUAGUAAAGAUCAUAAGAAAUCCUUUAGGAGUUUAAAUGUCCCUGGAACAGGCAUACAGGCUCUAGUCAAGAAUGAAUUAGAGUGAAGGAAAGCUUGUGACACCUGGCAUUCCUCUCUGUUCAUGGAGCUUCUUUGAGGCUUGAAGAUUGAUUUUUACCAUCUACACCUCUCUGGCUAAUACCUAUUCUUCAACCACCUUGGUUACUCUGACAUAGGAAUUUACUUCUUUUCCUUGAAUGGAAAACACUUUAAAAAAUAAUAACAAACAUUAUUAUAAACUAAUAUAUGUGAGAGUACUUAGUUGAAACAAAAAGGAGUUUUAGUAGACAGUAUUAUACUAUAUUUGAUAAUCAAGGAGAUGUUUAUGCAAUUUAAAAUGUUUAUAAACUGCAGUGCAGUCUACUGUUUGUGAAUGUCAAUGUAUUAUCAGGAAAUGUGUCUAUACAAUCACAGAGUUAUAUUUCCUCACAAACUUGUUUACUAAGAGUGAAAUAUGUUUUUGUACCUCUCAGUUUCAGUUAGGGACAUAUUUUGUGCAAUAUUUAUGUGAUUGUGCCUAUGCAUGAUGAACAAAUGAUUUCAGUCAUACAUUGCCUAAAUCAUAACUUGAUGAUGCUUGGGAAAGACUCAACAGUUCAAACUUCAUGAAGUUCUAAUGUCUGUGUUCCAAAACACAUCACAUUAUUAGGAUGUAGGGAGAUGUGUAUAUGCGCUCCCUGGGGUGGGGAUUUCUAGUUACUAGACCAUCUCCAUUUUUAGCAUUUGGCGUCCUCAUGAUACUUUUCUAAAUAUGACAUUAACAGGAGAGCAACAAUACGAUUUUACCGAUGGAAUAACAGAUUUGCCUGCAUUCACUGAAAGAGCGCAAAUAUUGGGUCCUUGUGACUUCAACUGACUCUUCCAAAUUGUAUGAAUGUAUCAAUGUAUUAGAUAAACCCAGUUUCAGAAUGAUAAAGAAAAAAUGUUAGACCAAAUAACACAGCUAAUUAACAGUGGUACGAUUUCUAGCCCGUGGGUUUAAAAUGGACCUAAAGUCCUGUUCUUGCCUUUUAUUUUCUGAACUUGCUGCUUUUGCAUUCUUUGAGUUCAAUUUAAAGACAGUUACUUUAAGUCCAUUUUAAACCCUCAGGCUAGAAAUCAUACCACUGUUAAUUAGCCACAUCUAUUUGGUCUAACGUUUUUUCUUUAUCAUUCUGAAACUGGGUUUAUCUAAUACAUUGGUAAAUUAUUUCAAAGGUACUUUUAUUGUUGAAAUCACUUCACUUUUACCCUGAUAAAUAUCAAUGACUAGGAAUGACCUUCAGAUAGCAUUUAGCAUCUGUAACCAAUCUGACAAUAAUGUGUUCAUCAGGUGCCUAUGGAUUAAAUCACAUAUUGGCAUAUUUAAGCUGAAUGUCAGUCUGGAAAUAAAUUUACUAUAUUAACUGAAAUACCACUCUUUGUGUAGGUAUUUGUCAUAUAUUUAAGAGAAAGCUAAAAAGAAUGGAAAUCGUAUGACUAACUUGUCUUUCUUCAAAGUGCAUACAGUCUUUUGCGAUACCUCAUUGAGCCAAGGAAUUUCAAAAUGCUAGUUCAGCUGAAUAAAUUUGAAUUUCUGCAGGAAGAAUCAAAACACCUAUUUAAAGAUUGCAAUAUAUAAUAAUUAUUUUUAAAGAAGUAUUUGAUUAAACCUGAUAGGUUUUCCAGAAAUGAAAAAAAAAUCAGUUCUAAAACCAAAGCUGAUUUUUAGAAAAUUUGAAAAGGUAAAUCAGCCCUAUCCAUAAUAUAGUUUCUCUAAAACAUUAUCUUAAAGAGUCAUUUAAAAAUAAUGUAACUACUAAAAAAUGUAACUGCUAUCUUAAAGUUCUGAAAUAAAACAUUUUAAAAUAUGAAUACUAUAGUUUAAAAGAAAGAAACGGUGGGAAGGAAAAGUAGAGAAAGAAAUGCCAAUUCCAGUCCAAAGCUUUAUUUGCCAAGUUUUCUUAGAAUGAAUUUUACCAAUUUAUGAAUUCUUGUAAACAGAAGGUAUAAUGGAAAUACUGAAAAACUUUUGCCUAAAGUGGCAUUAUUGACUGCUAGUGUGAUGCUACUGUAAUGUAAUAAAUUAUUAAAUUGUUACAAAGUGCUGUUUUUGCCUUAAAAUUUUGUUUUGCAUGUCUUGGAAAACUAUAGUAUUAAAGGUGUUGAUACUGUGCGAAUGCUGGGCAUGCUUGGCAUGAGAUAAUCUGUUUCAUUUUUACAAAAUUGUAAUAUAGCUAUGCAAGUGUUUGUUAAAAGAACACAAAAUAAAGUUACAGGAUUAAAAAAUGUUAUGGAGUGAAAAAGUUAUGGGAUUAAAAAAAUGUAAAAAAGUUGUGGCAAAAAAGUAGAAAAAAAUUUUAUGAAAAGUUACAAAAAAAGUUAUGAAAAAGAAGUUACGGGAUUUUAAAAAAAGUCAUGGGAUAAAAACAAAAAUUAAAAGCAGGCCUCUGUCAGCAAAGCCUGGAGAAGUAGGGCUGGAGUCUCCACUGCCACCAUGACCCUACCACCCCUUCCCAGGCACCCCUUUACAAUUAGGGUAGCCACACAAGACCUCUGUCUAAUGGGGAAAGACAGACCCUUUGCCGCCUUGACCAGGGCUGAGUCCUUAAAUUUCUGGAUGAUGAUGAUUGUUAUUUAAGAGCCAGAGGCUGGCAGAGGUGGUUUGUUUGGAGGAGGUCUGAUGGCCUCCUUACUCUCACCAUAGUAACUUUUCCCUCGGGGGGGCUCCCAUCUUCUUAUUCAGAGAGGCAGCUGAGGCGGGACAGUGGGGCUAACUGUGGACCAGGUGAGGGCACGGGCUGCUGGGGUGGCCCCCCUUCCCCGGUGUACAUAUUGUAUCUAUGUAACGUUUUGUAUAUUCCAGAGGGUAGGGCCGCCCCUGUAUCGUACCUAGAGGAGGUUGGAGCUGGCACAUGGGGAGGAGGGUCUGAUCAUUAUUUGUGGCUGGGAAACUUAUGUAUUGCUAGCAUAGGACAAAGAAAGGAGGCGGGGAUGGGGUCAUGGCUCCUGGUGAUGCGACUCCUGUUUAUUUUGCUUUUUAUUUUGGAAUAAACGGAUUUAGCCAUA
Molecule: long non-coding RNA, 4584 nt
Organism: Homo sapiens (human)
Lineage: Eukaryota; Metazoa; Chordata; Mammalia; Primates; Hominidae
Exons: 3
Source: RefSeq, a predicted model, not a curated record